Non-coding RNA from Pelobates cultripes (western spadefoot toad), 217 nucleotides. Lineage: Eukaryota; Metazoa; Chordata; Amphibia; Anura; Pelobatidae. The record is from the annotation of a GenBank genome assembly.
GCUUGGAAUAUUAAUUGCCUCUCUGUUUCAUGCCAUCGAUCUAGGUGCAUGAAGAGGAGGCCUUGUUCUAGUGUCAAGUGGUAUUGUUUGCCCAGUGCAUUAGCUAUUAUUUCCUCCACCAUUCCCCAAAAUGGGGUCAUGACCGGACAGGCCCACCAUAUAUGGUACAUUGUCCCCCAUUCCCCACAAGCUCUCCAGCAUUCAUUCUGGGUUCCCG